Oxyura jamaicensis (ruddy duck) is the source of this 2105-nucleotide long non-coding RNA. RefSeq lists it as uncharacterized. Lineage: Eukaryota; Metazoa; Chordata; Aves; Anseriformes; Anatidae. The record is from RefSeq and is a predicted model, not a curated record. The transcript has 2 exons.
GGGGAGCGGAGCGGGGCGGGAGGCGCCGUCCCUGCGCUGCGCGGGAUUUGCGCGGGGGGGAAUUGCGCGGGGGGCUGCCGCCGGGGUGGCUCUGAGCAUCCCGCACGGCACCGAGCCGGGGAGGUUUGGGGAUCCCGGGACAAACGGCACCGGGGGGUUGGUAGGAGGUGAGGGAUGAGGCUGGCUGCGGGGCAGGCGGCUGGGCUACCCCCCCAAAAAUAUAUUGAAAAAAAAAAAAAAGAACAACAAAAAGAGAAAAGAAAAAGAAAAAGAAAAAGAGAAAAGAAAGAGAAAAGAAAAAGAGAAAAGAAAACAAAAAAAGAAAAAGAAAAAAAGAAAAAGGAAAGAAAAAAAGAAAAAAUAGAAAAAGGAAAAAGAUGAAAAAGGAAAAAGAAAAAAAGAAAGGAAAAAAAUAAAGAAAAAAAGACACCCCCCCUCGGUUUAAAAUGUUAAUAGGAUGGGGAGAUGGGGAAAGGCUUUUUCUUGACGGUGCCACUGUAAAUAAAUGCGGUCUGACUUGCAUGCUGUCCCCUAAAGCCGAUGGCUGCAUCUAUUCGUGGACAGACGAGCAGAAAUAAUCGGAGUGGAUUGGAUGUGUUUUAGCUACGAUGCUUAACUGUUGUUGGGCUUUAUUUCUGUUAUUUAUAGUGGCGGGGCAUAAAGAUUAGUAAAACGUUAGCUUUUUCUUUUUUUUUUCUUUCUUUUUUUUUUUUUUUUUUUUCGGAAGGCUCAGAAUAAACAUGCGCAGAUGGUGGAAGGGAGCAGGGUGCAGGCUGAUGCUUUUUUGGCUGAGCGGGGAGUUUUAUUUCUGUUGAGAGAAAUUUUCGCUCAUCGGAUGUUGUAGAGGCAGAGAGCCGCGGUUGCUGGGGAAGGGCAGGGUGCGUGCUGCCGUGUGGGUGGGUGAGGACGUGAACGCUGGGUUGUACGGGACGGGUGCUUUAUUGCCAUGUCCCCUCCUGGUGCAAAUUCAACUUUGAGCACAUCUCUAAGCAAAGCAUCGCUGAGCCCAAACAGCACGUUUCGUGCUUUGCGUGCCACUUCCAAAACACGGCUGAACAAGUUUCGGCCGUAAUAUUUCAGUUUCUUUCUGCUUCCAAGGGAGGGCUCUCUACAAACGGAGUAUUUCUGCUUCUGCUCAUUUCCUACAUACCAAGUGCGAGUGAGAAGCGGGCUGAGUGCUUGAUGUGGAGGGGGGUCACGCACCCUUGUGGGGAUGAGCAUGGUGUGGAAACACUGCCCAGAUGGUGACAUUCGUGUCUGCCCAGGGCUCUGAAGAUGCAAGGUGAGGUGUCCCUGAGGGUCGUGUCCCUGCCUGUCACCUUCAGCACCUUCCUGAGCAGAAGUGUGUGGGGAAGGCAAGUCCGAAUGCCAGGAGAUUCAUGGGAGCAGCAGGACGGUUUUCUGUGAUUUCCAUCACACAGUCCCGUGUUAUCUUCCCACCUGUGGUGUAUGAAGCAUCUGCGAGGGUCAACUUGCACCUUUAGAGAGGUCCAGAGAGAAUGAAAGCCGUGGACUUGGUGGGUAUCCCACUGGAGUUGACAGGAGCAGCCGUAGGUCCCAAGGUAGGUAGAAGUAGGUAGCGUUCAUCGUUGUGCACAUUAGGAUGGCUGUUGCAAAUGAAAUCCAUUCACCAUGACCAUUUAGUGCCUCACACUCUUAAACAUCAUCGCAGCAAGGCCUUUGAGAUGAGAGGGCAAGCUGUAAGGCUUUAAAACAUGACCUAACACAGUAUAGAAAUUUCAGAGAAUUAAAUUAACUGCAUCGCAAGCCCGUGCCUGUCUAUAGGAAACAGAGCUGUUCUUUUUUCCCAUACACAGGGACAUUAUUUCUGGGUGUAGGUGCAUUUACCAGCCUGCACCUCAGUUGCCUCCUGGCUGUGUGCUCCCGAGUCACGGAGGGCAGACCAGGCAGAUUAAGGAGAUGUGGAUGUGAGUUUUGGAUCUGCUGUAAAACUUGUCAGAAAUUGAGGCCAUUACUGUGCAAAUCAUUAAAGGAUUUCUUCAGUUCCCACUGAGGCCAGCCAAGGUCUGUUCACUGACCCCAGCAGCAGAUACACGGGAGCACAAACCCUAGGACACAUUCAGAGUUAUUGAUAGGAAAAAAAA